AUUGAACUGCAACGUUGGUGACUGCCAAUAUAGUUUAUUGAUCUAUGCUUGUAAUAUAAGGGAAUUCGCAAGCUCCGGUGGCAGUAGACUGGGCAUUAGUACCCAGAAACUUUAUACCAAGAGCGCGAUUACCCACCUGGCUCGUCCAGGUCAUAAGCUGAGGUAAAACGGCGUUGCGGUCAAUUU
RNAcentral lists this non-coding RNA (186 nucleotides) under Oscillatoria sp. FACHB-1406. RNAcentral's name for it is "6S / SsrS RNA". It matches the Rfam family "6S / SsrS RNA". From Rfam's summary of the family: E. coli 6S RNA was the first non coding RNA to be sequenced, but its function was unknown until recently. Lineage: Bacteria; Bacillati; Cyanobacteriota; Cyanophyceae; Oscillatoriales; Oscillatoriaceae. The record is from Rfam by way of RNAcentral.